This is a long non-coding RNA of Meriones unguiculatus (Mongolian gerbil), 945 nucleotides long. RefSeq lists it as uncharacterized. The record is from RefSeq and is a predicted model, not a curated record. The transcript is spliced from 3 exons. Lineage: Eukaryota; Metazoa; Chordata; Mammalia; Rodentia; Muridae.
AAAGAAAGGAACGAAUAUAAACUUGCCCUUAUUUUAUCAAAACAACUGUGAAAGAAAGCUAAAAUAAUACGCAAAGACAACUACAAAGAAAAAAGAAGGAAAAACCAACAACUGCCAGCCAGUCAAGCCUGCUUCCUGAGAUGGAACCUAUACACUGCUCGGAUGACCAAGAACCUGAGACUGGAAAGCCCAGGGAUCUAGGCUCUACCUUGAACUCCCAACAACAUGUGAAUCUGAGAAGUGAACUUUGCAGCAAAUGAACUUUUGAGGGACAUACUCCAGCCACAGCAGCAGCAUUCCAGAAAAGAACCACACAACUAGAACCUCAGCAAAACGCACACUAUGGAAAAAUGUCCUAAACGUGCCAUAAUUCAUUUCAAAUCUGUGCUUGCUCAUCAGCCUCUUCUGGUUCCUUCCAGGUCCUGACUGUGAGGUCAUGAACCCUGUUACUGAAACCAUGGGUCUGCUCCUGAGAUGCUAUGUCUGAAGUGUGAGCAACUGAGUCCUUCACUUCCCCCCUCUGUGACCCUCAACCCAGGUAGAAGAUAAGAAUGAGCAGAGCUGGGCCGAACCUCUGAGAGACACAGAGACCCUUCCACAGACUUCUGCCUCCUGGGAACCUUCCAUUCUCUGGAAUUGGGGAGGGAAAACAAACACAGGGAUAAUUAAGACGACUUCCUGAAGUCAAGGGAUUUCUAGGACAGGCAUCCUGUCUUUGCAUGAAAACUAAUCAUAGUAGCACCCCCCCCAACAACAUGUGAGUACCCGUCCCUGUAGACAUUUUGAUGUGUUGUCACUUGAUCAUUUAUUGCUUCUUCUGUUUGACAUGAAUUUUCAUGCAGCUUUUUCCCAUCUACUCUGUAACACAAACAUUUCCCAUGUCAUCAUAAAUAUUUUAAUGAAUCACAUAUUUGAACAACAAGACAUGCUGAGAUUAGGAAAACA